GGGUUGUUAGUUUAAUAAAACAUUUAAUUUCGACUUAAAAUUUUAUGGUUAAAACCCAUAAUGACCUU
This 68-nucleotide transfer RNA is filed under the name Nothobranchius kafuensis (Kafue killifish). RNAcentral describes it as "tRNA-Arg". It matches the Rfam family "tRNA". Rfam says of the family: Transfer RNA (tRNA) molecules are approximately 80 nucleotides in length. Their secondary structure includes four short double-helical elements and three loops (D, anti-codon, and T loops). Further hydrogen bonds mediate the characteristic L-shaped molecular structure. tRNAs have two regions of fundamental functional importance: the anti-codon, which is responsible for specific mRNA codon recognition, and the 3' end, to which the tRNAs corresponding amino acid is attached (by aminoacyl-tRNA synthetases). tRNAs cope with the degeneracy of the genetic code in two manners: having more than one tRNA (with a specific anti-codon) for a particular amino acid; and 'wobble' base-pairing, i.e. permitting non-standard base-pairing at the 3rd anti-codon position. Lineage: Eukaryota; Metazoa; Chordata; Actinopteri; Cyprinodontiformes; Nothobranchiidae. The record is from RNAcentral.